UACGUAGGGGGCGAGCGUUGUCCGGAAUCAUUGGGCGUAAAGAGCGUGUAGGCGGCUUGGCAAGUCGGACGUGAAAGCCCGCGGCUCAACCGCGGAUUGUCGUUGGAAACUGCCUCGCUAGAGUCCGGAAGAGGAGAGCGGAAUUCCUGGUGUAGCGGUGGAAUGCGCAGAUAUCAGGAAGAACACCCGUGGCGAAGGCGGCUCUCUGGGACGGUACUGACGCUGAGACGCGAAAGCGUGGGGAGCGAACAGG
This 253-nucleotide ribosomal RNA is filed under the name uncultured bacterium. Its description in RNAcentral is "partial 16S ribosomal RNA". It matches the Rfam family "Bacterial small subunit ribosomal RNA", at positions 524 to 776 of the family's 1533-position model. The record is from RNAcentral.